GGUGUGUGAGGGCUGAGGGGUUGCACAGCAGAUGCAGCAUCCCUGAGUCUGGAAUCACUUUCACCUCCGCUUCCCAGGGCUGCAGAACGGAACAAUAUGAUCCUUAGAUGGAGUCAGCACCUGUGUCAGAGAAACAGAGACCAAGAACGAGCUGCAGAGGGGAGGGGACCAGUCAAGGCUCACAGCACAGGAAGAUGGGAAAAGGACUGAACAGCAGAGGAUAAGAGGAUGUGAGCUGUGCUCACAAUGAAAUCACUGGGAAUUCUGCCAUGGAAGCAGAACUGAGUUGUUCUUUCAGCAUUUCAGUGCCCAUCACUGCAUUAUCCAGGCGCCACCAAAAGAUUAAGGAGCUCUGCAGGGACAUUCUCCACAUGGUCUGUUCAAAGGUCCUUAGCAGAGCCUCUCAUUCUGGAAAAGGCCGGAGGAGGGCAAGGAAGAGAGCCACGGGAAA
Long non-coding RNA from Passer domesticus (house sparrow), 451 nucleotides. RefSeq lists it as uncharacterized. The transcript is spliced from 4 exons. Lineage: Eukaryota; Metazoa; Chordata; Aves; Passeriformes; Passeridae. The record is from RefSeq and is a predicted model, not a curated record.